RNAcentral lists this ribosomal RNA (286 nucleotides) under uncultured bacterium. RNAcentral's name for it is "partial 16S ribosomal RNA". It matches the Rfam family "Bacterial small subunit ribosomal RNA", at positions 333 to 636 of the family's 1533-position model. The record is from RNAcentral.
UGGAUCCUACGGGGGGCAGCAGUGGGGGAUAUUGCACAAUGGGGGAAACCCUGAUGCAGCGACGCCGCGUGUGGGAAGACGGUCUUCUGGAUUGUAAACCACUGUCCCCAGGGACGAAAAUGACGGUACCUGGGGAGGAAGCUCCGGCUAACUACGUGCCAGCAGCCGCGGUAAUACGUAGGGAGCAAGCGUUGUCCGGAAUUACUGGGUGUAAAGGGAGCGUAGGCGGGGAUGCAAGUUGGGGGUCAAAACUACCGGUUCAACCGAUAGCCGCGCACAAAACGCC